RNAcentral lists this ribosomal RNA (347 nucleotides) under uncultured Bacillus sp. Its description in RNAcentral is "bacterial SSU rRNA". It matches the Rfam family "Bacterial small subunit ribosomal RNA", at positions 1034 to 1382 of the family's 1533-position model. Lineage: Bacteria; Bacillati; Bacillota; Bacilli; Caryophanales; Bacillaceae. The record is from RNAcentral.
ACAGGUGGUGCAUGGUUGUCGUCAGCUCGUGUCGUGAGAUGUUCGGGUUAAGUCCCGCAACGAGCGCAACCCUCGACCUUAGUUGCCAGCAUUCAGUUGGGCACUCUAAGGUGACUGCCGGCUAAAAGUCGGAGGAAGUGGGGAUGACGUCAAAUCAUCAUGCCCCUUAUGACCUGGGCUACACACGUGCUACAAUGGGCGGUACAAAGAGAAGCAACCUCGCGAGGGUGAGCAAAUCUCAAAAAGCCGUUCUCAGUUCGGAUUGAAGUCUGCAACUCGACUUCAUGAAGUCGGAAUCGCUAGUAAUCGCGGAUCAGCAUGCCGCGGUGAAUACGUUCCCGGGCCUU